This 678-nucleotide unclassified non-coding RNA is filed under the name Hevea brasiliensis (rubber tree). The record is from RNAcentral. Lineage: Eukaryota; Viridiplantae; Streptophyta; Magnoliopsida; Malpighiales; Euphorbiaceae.
GGAAAACAUGGCGUCCUUUGUCGACGAUGAGUUUCAAUCAGCUAACAUAUUCAUACCGGAGGAGUGGUCCGAUGCUGCCGACUCUGUAGCCUAUGAUUCUAACACUUCGCCGCCGCCGGUUGCGUUUGUCUGCGGUCCCAAAAAUAGCGGCAAAACCACUUUCUCUCGCGUCCUUGUCAAUGUUCUUCUUCAGAGAUACAAGAAAGUCGCUUAUUUGGAUACAGAUGUCGGGCAGACAGAGUUCACUCCACCUGGUUUAUUAUCGCUUACCACAAUUGACAAAAUAACUUCAGAUCUGUCAAUUCCAUGCCUAAAAACUCCUGAGAGAUGCUUCUUUUUUGGUGACAUAUCCUCUAAAAGGGAUCCCAAAACAUAUUUGGCUUAUAUUUUUGCCUUGUAUGAUCACUACCGGAGAACGUACCUGUUGAGCAAUGGCGGAAGUCCUGGAAAUGCUGGGGUGCCUCUUGUCAUUAACACAACGGGCUGGGUCAAAGGUAUUGGCUAUGACAUUCUUGUGGAUAUUAUCAAAUACAUCUCUCCUACACAUGUUGUUAAGAUUUGCAUAUCGUCUGUGAGCAAGAACCUUCCGGCUGGUGCAUUUUGGUUGGAUGAUGAUAAUAGUGAUGUUCCAACUGUAGUUGAGGUCAACUCUGCUCGUCGGGACUCUUUUAACAGAUC